RNAcentral lists this ribosomal RNA (407 nucleotides) under uncultured bacterium. RNAcentral describes it as "partial 16S ribosomal RNA". It matches the Rfam family "Bacterial small subunit ribosomal RNA", at positions 29 to 526 of the family's 1533-position model. The record is from RNAcentral.
AGUGAACGCUGGCGGUAGGCCUAACACAUGCAAGUCGAACGGAGCGGCGGACGGGUGAGUAAUGACUAGGAAUCUGCCUGGUAGUGGGGGAUAACGUCCGGAAACGGGCGCUAAUACCGCAUACUAUCAGAUGAGCCUAGGUCGGAUUAGCGAGUUGGUGGGGUAAAGGCCUACCAAGGCGAAGAUCCGUAACUGGUCUGAGAGGAUGAACAGUCACCAUGGAACUUAUACACGGUCCAGACGCCUACGUGAGGCAGCAGUGGGGAAUAUUGGACAAUGGGCGAAAGCCUGAUCCAGCCAUGCCGCGUGUGUGAAGAAGGUCUUCGGAUUGUAAAGCACUUUAAGUUGGGAGGCGUUACCAACAGAAUAAGCACCGGCUAACUUCGUGCCAGCCGCCGCGGUAAUUC